This 110-nucleotide small nucleolar RNA is filed under the name Phascolarctos cinereus (koala). Its description in RNAcentral is "Small nucleolar RNA SNORD67 (ENSPCIG00000020068.2)". It matches the Rfam family "Small nucleolar RNA SNORD67". From Rfam's summary of the family: snoRNA HBII-166 belongs to the C/D family of snoRNAs. The record is from Rfam by way of RNAcentral. Lineage: Eukaryota; Metazoa; Chordata; Mammalia; Diprotodontia; Phascolarctidae.
CGCGAGAGUGAUGAGCUGCACAUCAGUGUGGCCGCAGCAUCCAGGGAUGCAGGCCACACUCAGUAUCCGUCUGGUGACAAACCAAGUGCACAGGGGCCAGCUGACUCGCG